AUGACCGAGUGGGAGACAGCAGUACCAGUGGUGGCAGAGACCCCUGACACCAAGCUCUCUGGGAAGUGGAUGAUGUGCAGAUCAAUGAUGCAGCACAAAUGAUGAUGUGCAGAUCAGUGACAUUUCCCUGCAGGAUUACAUUGCAGUGAAGGAGAAGUAUGCCAAGUACCUGCCUCACAGUGCAGGGCCUUAUGCUGCCACAUGCUUCUGCAAAGCUCAGUGCCCCACUGUGGAGCCCCUCACUAACUCCAUGAUGAUGCACGGCCACAACAGCAGCAAGAAGCUCAUGACUGUGCACAUCAUCAAGCAUGCCUUCAAUUUCAUCCACCUGCUCACAGGCGAGAACCCUCUGCAGGCCCUGGUGAACACUAUCAUCAAUGGUGGGCCCCAGGAGGACUCCACAUGCAUCGGGUGAGCAGGCACUGUGAGAUGACAGGCUGUGGAUAUGUCCCUACUGCACCAUGUGAAUCAGGCCACCUGGUUGCUGUGCACAGGCACUCAUGAGGCUGCCUUCCAGAAGAUCAAGACCAUUGCUGAGUGCCUGGCAAAUGAACUCAUCAAUGCCACCAAGGGCUCCUCCAACUCCUAUGCCAUCAAGAAGAAGGAUGAGCUGGAGCAUGUGGCCAAGUCCAACUGCUGAUUUUCCUGGCUGCUGCCCAAUAAACCAGUCUGUCCUUUGGGGCAGCCCUACCC
This is a non-coding RNA of Chlorocebus sabaeus (green monkey), 693 nucleotides long. The record is from RefSeq and is a predicted model, not a curated record. Lineage: Eukaryota; Metazoa; Chordata; Mammalia; Primates; Cercopithecidae.